RNAcentral lists this ribosomal RNA (750 nucleotides) under Kitasatospora albolonga. RNAcentral describes it as "bacterial SSU rRNA". It matches the Rfam family "Bacterial small subunit ribosomal RNA", at positions 97 to 859 of the family's 1533-position model. The record is from RNAcentral. Lineage: Bacteria; Bacillati; Actinomycetota; Actinomycetes; Kitasatosporales; Streptomycetaceae.
GGCGAACGGGUGAGUAACACGUGGGCAAUCUGCCCUUCACUCUGGGACAAGCCCUGGAAACGGGGUCUAAUACCGGAUAACACUCCUGCCUGCAUGGGUGGGGGUUGAAAGCUCCGGCGGUGAAGGAUGAGCCCGCGGCCUAUCAGCUUGUUGGUGGGGUAAUGGCCUACCAAGGCGACGACGGGUAGCCGGCCUGAGAGGGCGACCGGCCACACUGGGACUGAGACACGGCCCAGACUCCUACGGGAGGCAGCAGUGGGGAAUAUUGCACAAUGGGCGAAAGCCUGAUGCAGCGACGCCGCGUGAGGGAUGACGGCCUUCGGGUUGUAAACCUCUUUCAGCAGGGAAGAAGCGCAAGUGACGGUACCUGCAGAAGAAGCGCCGGCUAACUACGUGCCAGCAGCCGCGGUAAUACGUAGGGCGCAAGCGUUGUCCGGAAUUAUUGGGCGUAAAGAGCUCGUAGGCGGCUUGUCACGUCGGAUGUGAAAGCCCGGGGCUUAACCCCGGGUCUGCAUUCGAUACGGGCUAGCUAGAGUGUGGUAGGGGAGAUCGGAAUUCCUGGUGUAGCGGUGAAAUGCGCAGAUAUCAGGAGGAACACCGGUGGCGAAGGCGGAUCUCUGGGCCAUUACUGACGCUGAGGAGCGAAAGCGUGGGGAGCGAACAGGAUUAGAUACCCUGGUAGUCCACGCCGUAAACGUUGGGAACUAGGUGUUGGCGACAUUCCACGUCGUCGGUGCCGCAGCUAACGCA